GUGGUUGUAACCAGUCAGUUGGUUAGAGCGUGGUGUUGAUAACACCAAGGUUGCAGGUUCAAUCCCUGUAUGGGACAGCUGCA
Non-coding RNA from Podarcis lilfordi (Lilford's wall lizard), 83 nucleotides. Lineage: Eukaryota; Metazoa; Chordata; Lepidosauria; Squamata; Lacertidae. The record is from the annotation of a GenBank genome assembly.